Molecule: small nuclear RNA, 196 nt
Organism: Nannospalax galili (Upper Galilee mountains blind mole rat)
Lineage: Eukaryota; Metazoa; Chordata; Mammalia; Rodentia; Spalacidae
Product: U2 spliceosomal RNA
Exons: 1
Source: RefSeq, a predicted model, not a curated record
AUUGCUUCUUGACCCUUUGGCUCAGGUCACCUGUAGUACCUGUUCUUAUCAGUUUAAUAUCUGAUAUAUCUUCUAUCCUACAAGAAAGUCCAGGAGGAGGGUGACUAUGGUCAGGUCUAUCACUAGAGGUCCACUGUGGCUUAAGUCAUGGUUGGUUCUUUGCAGAUUCCUUUCUCAGCAACGAAGCUUUGCCUUG